Molecule: ribosomal RNA, 253 nt
Filed under: uncultured bacterium
Lineage: Bacteria
Description: partial 16S ribosomal RNA
Rfam family: Bacterial small subunit ribosomal RNA
Source: RNAcentral
UACAGAGGUCUCAAGCGUUGUUCGGAUUCAUUGGGCGUAAAGGGUGCGUAGGCGGCGCGGUAAGUCGGGUGUGAAAUCUCGGGGCUUAACUCCGAAACUGCAUUUGAUACUGGCGUGCUUGAGGACUGGAGAGGAGACUGGAAUUCAUGGUGUAGCAGUGAAAUGCGUAGAGAUCAUGAGGAAGACCAGUGGCGAAGGCGGGUCUCUGGGCCGAUAUUGACGCUGAGGAGCGAAAGCGUGGGGAGCGAACAGG